This is a long non-coding RNA of Homo sapiens (human), 1221 nucleotides long. Ensembl annotates it as downregulated RNA in cancer, inhibitor of cell invasion and migration. Its record names the gene DRAIC. Lineage: Eukaryota; Metazoa; Chordata; Mammalia; Primates; Hominidae. The record is from Ensembl.
AGUUAUAUUUUGGAUCCAGCAUUCUCUGAUUUGUCCUCCUCUAGCUUCCCCAAGAGUCAUACAAAUAUUGGGGGAUUCACAAGCAUUGUCCCCCACUGGUGAACACCAGGAACAAGUGGGCAGUGGGGGCUGCAGAGUGUUUCUAGAGAAAGGGCUUAGGGGUGGCCCCUGCCUGGGUGGCACAGUGAGCACACUGUACUCCUAGGUAGAUCGGAUAUUGACUUGGAGAGGUCUUGGAGAAAGGCUGAUGAAGGUGAUCGACAGCCUAAAUCUCUGAAGCCGUCUCCUGAUGCAACCUCUGACCCAACAAUCUCUGGGUCUUGCUGUUAUCAGCUCCAUCAGUUUUACUGGAUGGAAUAAAAAGGCCUACCUCAUUGGGCUCGUGUGGGUGAGGAGAACUGAAGAGUCUGAGAGCGCGGCACGAGCCAGAGGCUACGGAAAACACUGCCCUCCUACACUCCACCUUGGAGAGACCCAGAAAAGAACAAGCUUCAUUUGUAAAAAAGGAAAACAACUCAGGCAAUGGGGGUGGCUUAAAGGCACUCUACAGUGUGCAGAUGCCUUCCACUUCUUCCAUCUGCCCUGUCUCUCCAAGAACCCCUAUGGCCCCGGUCUCAGAACAGAGCUGAGUGCAGAAAUGAAAAUCUAUGGCUCUGUGUUCCAAAACGAUGAAGAAUUUCAAGAUGGUGGCAGUGGUAAAAUCUUUCUCCAGGAAAAAUCUGUCCUUGGCCCAAUGUGUAAACACUUGCUGAGUAUUGUGAAACCAGCAACUUGUUCACAAUUCUUCUGAAUUUCUUGGGAAAUUUGAAGUGGAGUACCUGUACCAACAUGAAAUGACACGAAUUUAAGUGACGCUCAACAACGAAAAGCAAAAAGAACCAAAGAGGAAGCAACUGAAACAACAUCUGGAUGUAUUUAAAAAUAUACAAUGCCUCCAAAAUCAGGUGUCAUUAAUGAAAAUUCUGAAGAAAUGCCACCGGACAUAGCCAACGCACCUACGCUGUUGUUAUUCAUUUCCUGCUUUUCACAGAAAACAAUUUUGUUGCAUGGAAGAUCGUGAACUUCAAAGGGCAGAGGGGAAACUGUCCCUUGGCCUCUACCCCUCCAAGGCCCCACUUUUUUGUCAACACUCCUUGGACGCAGCAGAAGUAUGAACAUAAUAUGGUCCUGAAUGAGGCUGAGUCUUUGGGCGCAGAAGACCCGGGUUAAUAAAAAUAGGAA